This 532-nucleotide ribosomal RNA is filed under the name uncultured bacterium. RNAcentral's name for it is "bacterial SSU rRNA". It matches the Rfam family "Bacterial small subunit ribosomal RNA", at positions 777 to 1308 of the family's 1533-position model. The record is from RNAcentral.
AAUAGAUACCCUGGUAGUCCAUGCCGUAAACGUUGGGCGCUAGAUGUGGGGACCAUUCCACGGUUUCCGUGUCGCAGCUAACGCAUUAAGCGCCCCGCCUGGGGAGUACGGCCGCAAGGCUAAAAACUCAAAGGAAUUGACGGGGGCCCGCACAAGCGGCGGAGCAUGCGGAUUAAUUCGAUGCAACGCGAAGAACCUUACCAAGGCUUGACAUAUACGAGAACGCUCUAGAAAUAGAGAACUCUUUGGACACUCGUAUACAGGUGGUGCAUGGUUGUCGUCAGCUCGUGUCGUGAGAUGUUGGGUUAAGUCCCGCAACGAGCGCAACCCUCGUUCUAUGUUGCCAGCGGUUCGGCCGGGAACUCAUAGGAGACUGCCGGGGUCAACUCGGAGGAAGGUGGGGAUGACGUCAAAUCAUCAUGCCCCUUAUGUCUUGGGCUUCACGCAUGCUACAAUGGCCGGUACAAAGGGCUGCAAUACCGUAAGGUGAGCGAAUCCCAAAAAGCCGGUCUCAGUUCGGAUUGAGGUCUGC